Molecule: ribosomal RNA, 266 nt
Filed under: uncultured bacterium
Lineage: Bacteria
Description: partial 16S ribosomal RNA
Rfam family: Bacterial small subunit ribosomal RNA
Source: RNAcentral
CGACCGGCGCACGGGUGAGUAACACGUAUGCAACCUGGCCGUGACAGAUGGAUAACCGGGAGAAAUCCCGCCUAAUACAACAUAAUGCCGGGAGGGGACAUCCCCUGCCGGCCAAAGGGGGCGACCCCGGUCACGGAUGGGCAUGCGGCGCAUUAGGUAGUUGGUGGGGCAACGGCCCACCAAGCCGACGAUGCGUAGGGGUUCUGAGAGGAAGGUCCCCCACACUGGUACUGAGACACGGACCAGACUCCUACGGAAGGCAGCAG